RNAcentral lists this unclassified non-coding RNA (302 nucleotides) under fungal sp. RNAcentral's name for it is "partial internal transcribed spacer region". The stretch from base 1 to 46 matches the Rfam family "Eukaryotic small subunit ribosomal RNA", at positions 1786 to 1831 of the family's 1831-position model. Lineage: Eukaryota; Fungi. The record is from RNAcentral.
AAGUCGUAACAAGGUUUCCGUAGGUGAACCUGCGGAAGGAUCAUUACCAAAUCCAAAUACCCAAACCCCAUGUGAAUUAUUGUAUAGUCUGUCUUUGGGAGAAAAAACGAAAGAAAUUUUCGGAAAUUAAAAACUUUUGAAAAUCCUGGAAAUUUUUUCUCCCAAUAGAGUCCGGCGCAAACUUUAUUGGUUGCGUCCAGAUUCGAAACCCCCUUUUUUAAACCACUUGAUUUUUCUGUUGGAAUUUACUUUUAUUAAUUUUAAAUAAAAGACAACUUUUAACGGCGGAUCUCUUGGCUCGU